GACGAAUGACUUGUACUUGCAAUAGCUCCAACCCAAUAAAUAUGCCCCAAGGAAAUUCCAUGACCAAUCUGAGGAGGAGGAAAGCGAUGAGGAAGGAGAAGAUGAUGAUGAUGAUGACGAUGAUGACGACGAUGAUGAUGAGGAAGAGUAAAAAAAAGAGAUGGAGGAAGACUCCCAACUACCUAUAAUUACGAUGAGGCAUUCAAUCGGAAAGACCAUCGAUAAAAGGCGUGAGUAUCCACAACCC
This 247-nucleotide long non-coding RNA is filed under the name Gossypium barbadense (sea-island cotton). Its description in RNAcentral is "long non-coding RNA (GBAR_LNC018123)". The record is from RNAcentral. Lineage: Eukaryota; Viridiplantae; Streptophyta; Magnoliopsida; Malvales; Malvaceae.